Molecule: ribosomal RNA, 328 nt
Filed under: Anaplasma bovis
Lineage: Bacteria; Pseudomonadati; Pseudomonadota; Alphaproteobacteria; Rickettsiales; Anaplasmataceae
Description: bacterial SSU rRNA
Rfam family: Bacterial small subunit ribosomal RNA
Source: RNAcentral
UGCAUAGGAAUCUACCUAGUAGUAUGGGAUAGCCACUAGAAAUGGUGGGUAAUACUGUAUAAUCCCUGCGGGGGAAAGAUUUAUCGCUAUUAGAUGAGCCUAUGUCAGAUUAGCUAGUUGGUGGGGUAAUGGCCUACCAAGGCGGUGAUCUGUAGCUGGUCUGAGAGGAUGAUCAGCCACACUGGAACUGAGACACGGUCCAGACUCCUACGGGAGGCAGCAGUGGGGAAUAUUGGACAAUGGGCGCAAGCCUGAUCCAGCUAUGCCGCGUGAGUGAGGAAGGCCUUAGGGUUGUAAAACUCUUUCAGUGGGGAAGAUAAUGACGGUA